RNAcentral lists this ribosomal RNA (253 nucleotides) under uncultured bacterium. Its description in RNAcentral is "partial 16S ribosomal RNA". It matches the Rfam family "Bacterial small subunit ribosomal RNA", at positions 524 to 776 of the family's 1533-position model. The record is from RNAcentral.
UACGUAGGGGGCAAGCGUUGUUCGGAAUUACUGGGCGUAAAGGGCGCGUAGGCGGCACGGCAAGUCAGGCGUGAAAGCCCGGGGCUCAACCCCGGAAUGUCUUUUGAAACUGCCGAGCUAGAGUGCGGAAGAGGCAACUGGAAUUCCCAGUGUAGCGGUGAAAUGCGUAGAUAUUGGGAAGAACACCUGAGGCGAAGGCGGGUUGCUGGGCCGACACUGACGCUGAGGCGCGAAAGCCAGGGGAGCGAACGGG